Non-coding RNA from Gorilla gorilla gorilla (western lowland gorilla), 148 nucleotides. It matches the Rfam family "Metazoan signal recognition particle RNA". From Rfam's summary of the family: The signal recognition particle (SRP) is a universally conserved ribonucleoprotein. It is involved in the co-translational targeting of proteins to membranes. The record is from Rfam. NCBI's taxonomy places the organism in Eukaryota, Metazoa, Chordata, Mammalia, Primates, Hominidae.
GCAGGGUGUGGUGGCAUGCACCUGUGGUCCCAGCUACUUGGGAGGCUGAGGCAGGGGGAUCACUUGAGUCCAGGAGGUCGAGGCUGCAGUGAGCCAUGAUUGCACCACUGCACUCUAGCCUGGGUGACACAGUGAGACCCUGUCUCAA